Molecule: long non-coding RNA, 700 nt
Filed under: Gorilla gorilla gorilla (western lowland gorilla)
Lineage: Eukaryota; Metazoa; Chordata; Mammalia; Primates; Hominidae
Description: lncRNA (ENSGGOG00000044654.1)
Source: RNAcentral
GGCAAAUUGCUCAGAGCAGCCACUCAUGUUGGACAGUUCAGGUCUCUUCUGGAAACUGGCCUUGUAUUUGGAAUUUUCUCCAGAGUCUGAUGUGAGAGCUAAAGCCUUUCAGCAGGAAAUCCAGAUGCUCACUAAGUGACUAGAGCAGCUGCAUCAUCUUUAAGAAGAAGGUGCUCAAGAAUCAUCCCAAGCUGAAGAAAAAAGUAUUGGGAACAAAAAAGACCCUUGAAAUGUCUAGAAAGAAAAACUGAGAUCAAGGACUUUUUCAAGAGAGAUUAGACUUGGACAGGAAGAAAAAUUUGCAGAUUGCUACUAUGCAAAGAUUGGAGGAGAAAAUUCAGAAACUUCAGAAACAGCUCAGUGAUUUGAAAUUGUCAAAUAAAAAUAUGAAAACUCAGCUGACAAGAGUAAAUGUCCUUAAAGACAAAACAAUUGAAGAGCUCAGGCAAUCUUUAGCAAAUGUUGAAACGAUGAAAGAGAAGGCAAAUGUUGAAACGAUGAAAGAGAAGGCAGUUGUGAAAACAGAAAACUUGAAAACUACAUUAGACUCUGCAGAGCAAAAGGCAAGAUCAGACAAAGAGAAGACCCAGCAGAUGUUAGAUGCUGUCACUUCUGAGCCCCCAACAGCAAAGAGCACACCUGAAGAAGUAUCAGGACAAGAACAAGAGGUUUUUUCAAAAUAGUAAAAUUAAAAUUAAUU